UACAGAGACUGCGAGCGUUAUUCGGAUUCAUUGGGCGUAAAGGGUGCGUAGGUGGCGCCGUAAGUCGGAUGUGAAAUUUCGGAGCUUAACUCCGAAACUGCAUUCGAUACUGCGGUGCUUGAGGACUGGAGAGGAGACUGGAAUUCAUGGUGUAGCAGUGAAAUGCGUAGAGAUCAUGAGGAAGACCAGUGGCGAAGGCGGGUCUCUGGACAGUUCCUGACACUGAGGCACGAAGGCCAGGGGAGCAAACGGG
RNAcentral lists this ribosomal RNA (253 nucleotides) under uncultured bacterium. RNAcentral describes it as "partial 16S ribosomal RNA". It matches the Rfam family "Bacterial small subunit ribosomal RNA", at positions 524 to 776 of the family's 1533-position model. The record is from RNAcentral.